AUUGAACGCUGGCGGCAGGCCUAACACAUGCAAGUCGAACGGUAGCACAGAGAGCUUGCUCUCGGGUGACGAGUGGCGGACGGGUGAGUAACGUCUGGGAAACUGCCCGAUGGAGGGGGAUAACUACUGGAAACGGUAGCUAAUACCGCAUAACGUCGCAAGACCAAAGUGGGGGACCUUCGGGCCCCACACCAUCGGAUGUGCCCGGAUGGGAUUAGCUAGUAGGUGGGGUAAUGGCUCACCUAGGCGACGAUCCCUAGCUGGUCUGAGAGGAUGACCAGCCACACUGGAACUGAGACACGGUCCAGACUCCUACGGGAGGCAGCAGUGGGGAAUAUUGCACAAUGGGCGCAAGCCUGAUGCAGCCAUGCCGCGUGUAUGAAGAAGGCCUUCGGGUUGUAAAGUACUUUCAGCGGGGAGGAAGGCGGUGAGGUUAAUAACUUCACCGAUUGACGUUACCCGCAGAAGAAGCACCGGCUAACUCCGUGCCAGCCGCCGCCGUAA
RNAcentral lists this ribosomal RNA (504 nucleotides) under uncultured bacterium. RNAcentral describes it as "partial 16S ribosomal RNA". It matches the Rfam family "Bacterial small subunit ribosomal RNA", at positions 29 to 523 of the family's 1533-position model. The record is from RNAcentral.